UACGAGGGGGGCGAGCGUUGUUCGGAAUUAUUGGGCGUAAAGGGUGCGUAGGCGGUUUGGUAAGUCUUAUGUGAAAUCUACAGGCUCAACUUGUAGUCUGCAUGAGAAACUGCCGGGCUUGAGUAUGGGAGAGGUGAGUGGAAUUCCUGGUGUAGCGGUGAAAUGCGUAGAUAUCAGGAGGAACACCUGAGGUGAAGACGGGUUGCUGGGCCGACACUGACGCUGAGUGCGCGAAAGCCAGGGGAGCAAACGGG
RNAcentral lists this ribosomal RNA (254 nucleotides) under uncultured bacterium. RNAcentral describes it as "partial 16S ribosomal RNA". It matches the Rfam family "Bacterial small subunit ribosomal RNA", at positions 524 to 776 of the family's 1533-position model. The record is from RNAcentral.